This 305-nucleotide ribosomal RNA is filed under the name uncultured bacterium. RNAcentral describes it as "bacterial SSU rRNA". It matches the Rfam family "Bacterial small subunit ribosomal RNA", at positions 337 to 657 of the family's 1533-position model. The record is from RNAcentral.
ACCUACGGGGGGCAGCAGUGGGGGAUAUUGCACAAUGGGGGAAACCCUGAUGCAGCGACGCCGCGUGGGCGAAGAAGUAUUUCGGUAUGUAAAGCCCUAUCCGCAGGGAAGAAGAAAUGACGGUACCUGAGUAAGAAGCACCGGCUAAAUACGUGCCAGCAGCCGCGGUAAUACGUAUGGUGCAAGCGUUAUCCGGAUUUACUGGGUGUAAAGGGAGCGCAGGCGGCACGGCAAGCCUGAUGUGAAAGCCCGCGGCCCAACCGAGGGACUGCAUUGGGAACUACCGUGCUGGAGUGCCGGCGUGG